GUACUAUAAGUACACUUUGGCUACAAAACCAUAGCUAUUGUGUAAGAACCGUUACCAUAGGUUAAAGUAUUGUGACGGAUUUUUGAACCGUUACAGUAGAGACGUUUACGGCAACAGUAUUUUUGGCAAAUUUUCUAUUGGGACGGUUGUAUAAUUCCUUCCUUAAUUAUUUUCCCCCCAAAAUUUUGAUACACCCGCCAAUAAUUUUAUCCCUGUAGCUUAGACCCUUUUAAUAUUAAAUUUAAUUGGUUUAAUUUUUAUCCAUUUCCCCCAUCAUCCACGCUUAGCAAACAAAACCCACUUUUUAAUAUCUCACUUCUUUACCUCUCUCAGUAGUGGAAGAGAGGCAAAUUUUCUCUCACUACAUACGUGAAGAACAACUGGACAGAACACAAGUUUUUGUUGAACCCAGCUGAUUUUCUCUCUACAAAAACACAAUUUGUUGAUCUUUGAGGUUGUUUUCUAUCUAUAUGCUUUUAAUUUUACAUAUUCUGGUCGAAUUUUGCCUCUGUUCUUUUGGUGGGUGUUUGAUAAAAAUGGUGAUUUGUAGUUAUUGUGGUGGGUUUUUUUUUAUUUACAUUUCUCUGAAUUUUUUCGUUUUUACAGGAAAUUAUUGCUCUUUGGUUUUGGUUAUUUUCUUUGUUAGAAUAGAGAUUUAUGGUUGAUUCUUAGUGGGGGUUUUCUCUUUGGAUUUCAUGGUCAUGAAUUGUUUGUCAAAAUCUAAUUUUAUGGUCAUGGGUUCUUUGCAUGUUUCCUUUUUUAUCUGAAUCUUCCUUCUUAUUUAAAUUUUUGAGUUUUUGUUUGACUAAAUGGAGCUUUAUGCCUUAUUUUAAGUGAGGUUUUUUGGUUGGAAUCCAAGUGUCAAUUUUUCAGGUUCAAUUUUAUAUCUAAAUCCAAGUGUUUCAUAUUUGCAACAAUUUUGCCUCUUAUUGUUUUUUUUUCUUUUUUCUUUUUUUGUUAGUUUCGGGAGAUUUCUUUUUAUUAGAAUGUGGUAUAUGUUUUUUUUUUUUUUUUUGGUUUUCCAGUUCUAAUUUUGUUUCAAGAUUAUGGCUGGUUUGCUAAAUUUUUCCUUUGAUGCUAGGUAACUCGAUCGUGGGGAGAAUCCAUAAUUUGGAGCUUCAAUCAGUUGGGAGAGUUUGUUUGAGUUCAUCGAUUGAGGUCGCCUGGGUCUUGUUCCAGUAAACUUGACAUUUAGCUUGGAUGAUUGCGUCUACUUCUCUCCAGGGAC
Long non-coding RNA from Lycium ferocissimum, 1228 nucleotides. RefSeq lists it as uncharacterized. The record is from RefSeq and is a predicted model, not a curated record. Lineage: Eukaryota; Viridiplantae; Streptophyta; Magnoliopsida; Solanales; Solanaceae. The transcript is spliced from 3 exons.